RNAcentral lists this unclassified non-coding RNA (212 nucleotides) under Hevea brasiliensis (rubber tree). Lineage: Eukaryota; Viridiplantae; Streptophyta; Magnoliopsida; Malpighiales; Euphorbiaceae. The record is from RNAcentral.
AAUCUUUCCUCUAUUGAAUUAAAUGUUCCAUCCACAUUCUCCUGCACAAUCCUAAUUCUUUCUUCCAAUUUAGCAACCCUAACCAGCUCGGAACUAACCACCUAAACCCCAUAGACCUAGUCUUUAUUAUGACAGUAAUGCAGUGAAACCUAAGAACUUCAAGGGCAGGGUUUCAGUAUAAUCUAGACUUUCAAGAACUUCAAGAAACAAAG